This 253-nucleotide ribosomal RNA is filed under the name uncultured bacterium. RNAcentral's name for it is "partial 16S ribosomal RNA". It matches the Rfam family "Bacterial small subunit ribosomal RNA", at positions 524 to 776 of the family's 1533-position model. The record is from RNAcentral.
UACAGAGGUCUCAAGCGUUGUUCGGAUUCAUUGGGCGUAAAGAGCGCGUAGGCGGCUGGAAUAGUCCGGUGUGAAAUCCACAGGCUUAACCUGUGAAUGCCGCUGGAAACUGUCUGGCUAGAGUCCGGAAGGGGCGAGUGGAAUUCCUGGUGUAGCGGUGAAAUGCGCAGAUAUCAGGAGGAACACCAAUGGCGAAGGCAGCUCGCUGGGACGGUACUGACGCUGAGGCGCGAAAGCGUGGGGAGCGAACAGG